CGGGGCGUGGUCCACUGGUAGGAUGCACGGUUCGGAACUGUGCGGACUGGGUCCGAUUCCCAGCGCCCCGA
RNAcentral lists this transfer RNA (71 nucleotides) under Candidatus Woesebacteria bacterium. RNAcentral's name for it is "tRNA-Pro". It matches the Rfam family "tRNA". From Rfam's summary of the family: Transfer RNA (tRNA) molecules are approximately 80 nucleotides in length. Their secondary structure includes four short double-helical elements and three loops (D, anti-codon, and T loops). The record is from RNAcentral. Lineage: Bacteria; Candidatus Woeseibacteriota.